RNAcentral lists this ribosomal RNA (253 nucleotides) under uncultured bacterium. RNAcentral describes it as "partial 16S ribosomal RNA". It matches the Rfam family "Bacterial small subunit ribosomal RNA", at positions 524 to 776 of the family's 1533-position model. The record is from RNAcentral.
UACGGAGGGUGCAAGCGUUGCUCGGAAUUAUUGGGCGUAAAGGGUAGGUAGGUGGUCUCAUUUGUCUGGGGUGAAAGCCUUGGGCUUAACUCAAGAAGUGCCCCAGAAACGGUGAGACUGGAGUCCUGGAGAGGGUCGUGGAAUUCCCGGUGUAGCGGUGAAAUGCGUAGAGCUCGGGAAGAACAUCGGUGGCGAAAGCGCUCUACUGGACUGCAACUGACACUCAGGGACGAAAGCUAGGGGAGCGAAUGGG